AUGGGAGCACCUAUGCUCCCGUAUCACAGGAUACUCUCCCCCCCUCCCCACUGCCGCACCAACACGCCAGUCUCGGCGACGCCAAACCCUCGCCCGCUCUCCAGAAACCCCCCUAUGGCCGCCACCGGCGCUGCCGCGCCCGCGCCCGCGGCCGUGCAGCCGCCGCGGCAGUUCAAGCUCGACCCGCAGAGCGAGCUCCGCGUGGAGGUGCUCCCGGACGCGACCCUCCGCGUGCGCCUCGUCUCCGGCACGGCGGAGAUCUUCGGCACCGAGCUCCCGCCCGAGGGCUGGCUCACCAUCCCGCCCCGCUCCAAGAUCGCCAUUUUCACGUGGCACGGCGCGACGGUGGAGCUGGACGGGGUCAGCGAGAGCGAGUACACGUCCGACGAGACGCCGAUGGUGAUUUAUGUCAACACGCAUGCGAUUCUCGAUGCACGGAGGGCGAGGGCGAGGGCAGCGCAGGGAGGCGACUUGGAGGCCUCACAGGGACCUAGAGUGAUUGUUGUGGGGCCAACUGAUUCUGGAAAAAGCACUCUGUGCAAAAUGCUCCUUAGCUGGGCUGCCAAACUGGGAUGGAAGCCUACAUAUGUGGAUUUAGAUAUUGGCCAGGGUUCCAUAACCAUACCUGGAUGUAUUUCUGCUACACCAAUAGAGAAACCCAUAGAUAUAGUUGAUGGGAUUCCUUUGGAGAUGCCGCUUGCAUACUUUUAUGGCCAUCCAAAUCCAAGUAUUAAUCCAGAUGUUUACAAAGCGCUCAUGAGAGAGCUAGCUCAAACAUUAGAGACACAGUUCUCUGGGAAUGCUGAAUCUAGGGCGGCCGGUAUGGUUAUUAACACAAUGGGGUGGGUUGAAGGCCUUGGCUAUGAGUUACUUCUUAAUGCAAUUGACAUCUUCAAGGCUAAUGUAGUGCUGGUAUUGGGACAGGAGAAGCUCUGGAAGAUGUUAAAAGAUGCAGUACAAAGUAAGCCCAAUAUCGAUGUCGUAAAACUUCAUAAAUCUGAGGGUGUUGUCCUAAGGAAUUCAAAAUAUCGUCAAAAGACUAGGAGCUUUCGUAUCAAGGAGUACUUUUAUGGGAUUGCAAACGAUCUGGCACCACAUUCAAAUGUAGUCAACUUUAGUGAUGUUUCUGUUUUCAGAAUUGGUAGUGGACAUCAAGCUCCACGGUCAGCUUUACCAAUUGGUGCAGAGCCUGUGGCAGAUCCCACUCGGCUUGUUGCUGUCAACAUCAGCACUGAUAUGGUCCACACAGUGCUUGCUGUUUCUUAUGCGAAGGAACCUGAUGAAAUAAUUUCGAGCAACGUUGCCGGAUUCAUCCAUGUCACAGAUGUUGACAUCCAAAGGAAGAAGCUGACGUACAUCGCGCCUUGCCCAGGAGACCUGCCAAGCAGGCUGUUAAUCGCGAGCUCCCUGACAUGGUACGAGCAGGCUUGA
This 1431-nucleotide ribosomal RNA is filed under the name Triticum aestivum (bread wheat). RNAcentral's name for it is "partial small subunit ribosomal RNA". The record is from RNAcentral. Lineage: Eukaryota; Viridiplantae; Streptophyta; Magnoliopsida; Poales; Poaceae.